AUUGAACGCUGGCGGCAGGCCUAACACAUGCAAGUCGAGCGGAUGAAGGGAGCUUGCUCCUGGAUUCAGCGGCGGACGGGUGAGUAAUGCCUAGGAAUCUGCCUGGUAGUGGGGGAUAACGUCCGGAAACGGGCGCGAAUACCGCAUACGUCCUGAGGGAGAAAGGGGGGGAUCUUCGGACCUCAAGCUAUCAGAUGAGCCUAGGUCGGAUUAGCUAGUUGGUGGGGUAAAGGCCUACCAAGGCGACGAUCCGUAACUGGUCUGAGAGGAUGAUCAGUCACACUGGAACUGAGACACGGUCCAGACUCCUACGGGAGGCAGCAGUGGGGAAUAUUGGACAAUGGGCGAAAGCCUGAUCCAGCCAUGCCGCGUGUGUGAAGAAGGUCUUCGGAUUGUAAAGCUCUUUAAGUUGGGAGGAAGGGCAGUAAGUUAAUCCCUUGCUGUUUUGACGUUACCAACAGAAUAAGCACCGGCUAACUUCGUG
RNAcentral lists this ribosomal RNA (484 nucleotides) under uncultured bacterium. RNAcentral's name for it is "partial 16S ribosomal RNA". It matches the Rfam family "Bacterial small subunit ribosomal RNA", at positions 30 to 507 of the family's 1533-position model. The record is from RNAcentral.